GAUGAAGAACGUAGCGAAAUGCGAUAAGUAAUGUGAAUUGCAGAAUCCAGUGAAUCAUCGAAUCUUUGAACGCACAUUGCGCCCCUUGGUAUUCCAUGGGGCAUGCCUGUUCGAGCGUCAUUUGUACCUUCAAGCCUUGCUUGGUGUUGGGUGUUUGUCUCGCCUCUGCGCGCAGACUCGCCUCAAAACAAUUGGCAGCCGGCGUAUUGAUUUCGGAGCGCAGUACAUCUCGCGCUUUGCACUCAGAACGACGACGUCCAAAAGUACAUUUUUACACUCUUGACCUCGGAUCAGGUAGGGAUACCCGCUGAACUUAAGCAUAUCAAUAAGCGGAGGA
This 337-nucleotide unclassified non-coding RNA is filed under the name soil metagenome. RNAcentral's name for it is "partial contains 5.8S ribosomal RNA, internal transcribed spacer 2, and large subunit ribosomal RNA". The stretch from base 1 to 120 matches the Rfam family "5.8S ribosomal RNA", at positions 35 to 154 of the family's 154-position model. The record is from RNAcentral.